UAUAUUAUUAGUUCUUGAUGACUGUUGAAAAAAAAUGAAUGCUCUAGCUGCCUAUAUAAAGUUCCCAGACUCCUCCGGCAGCGACGAUGGUCCGAAGCUACAUGAAUGUUCAUGGGAUCUAAGAAGACGUGCUAAAUUGAAAAGCAAUGGCCAGUCAGCUCAGAUGAGAUCUUCUGUUAAGUAGAGAAUAAGAAGAAUUUCAGUAGAAUGAUUACUGUAUUCUUGCACGCUUCAAAUGUGUUUGCUUCAUCCAAUCAAGGCAUUCCUCUGCAGUUCCUGUGGGAUGGGCAAGCUGCCAUGCCAGCAAUUUUUGUUGCCACUCCCUAACAAGUGGUCCUCCAGAUUUAAGCUGCUCAUAAUCUCUUUACCAUUGACCAAUGGCUUUACAUCCCAGAUUUUUUCAAGACCUAGUUUAGUGAUGGCAUUCUCAACUGUCUUAAAUAGUUCUAUUCUCUUGUCAAGUUGAUAUUGCUUAUCUAAAAAAUCUUCAGUAGAGUCGAUGUUGGCAGGAUAUAUCAUUGUAGAUAUCAACAAGGCAACUCGCAAAAAAUCUUUGACAUCUCGUAGUAGAAACCCUGCCAAUACUCGGAGUUUCGAUGAGAAAGGCACAUCAAUAAGUUCUGGUCCCCAGUCAACUUCAGCUGGCUGGGUGUCCUCGUUAGAAGUAAGCAAAUCAAAUAAGUUUAAGAAUUUCUCUAAUGACCUGUGUAUCUUCAUAACUGUUUCAGAAUCGCUGGAUUUUUGCUUGAGAGAGUCUUUGAAGAUAAAGUUGACAACAGGAGCCGUUUUACCCUUCUCAUCCUUGCACGUAAUAUUUCUGAAUGGGAGAAAUAAAGCCGCAUACAAAGACAGUCUCCUUUGUUCAACAGUGAAGAUGGAACACCCAAUUAAUUGAAUAAGGUUCCAUGAUGCAUCCAAGUACGCAAUACAUAGCUUGUGGCAUCCUUCUGACACUGCUGGCUCAACCUUAGGAGGAAGACCAAAGACAACCCAGAAUAAUGUCAAAUCAGCAAUGCAUGUCAUAGCUUUAAC
This 1032-nucleotide unclassified non-coding RNA is filed under the name Hevea brasiliensis (rubber tree). Lineage: Eukaryota; Viridiplantae; Streptophyta; Magnoliopsida; Malpighiales; Euphorbiaceae. The record is from RNAcentral.